Molecule: long non-coding RNA, 211 nt
Filed under: Capsicum annuum
Lineage: Eukaryota; Viridiplantae; Streptophyta; Magnoliopsida; Solanales; Solanaceae
Description: long non-coding RNA (CANN_LNC003749)
Source: RNAcentral
CUUGCAUCAAAUGCAAAAUAAAGAAAGACGCGUAAAAUUGACCAUGGCUCCCAGUGAAAUUGAGCAGAGAUUGUUGGGCGUUCACCACCUUGACAAGGACAGAGAGCCAGUUAAGAUAAGUGUUACGAGUGAAGCAUGUGAAAAUGAAGAGCAGAACCGUACUGAAACAAAUAGAGAUGCAACAGAAUUUGAAAGACAAAGAAUCAAGCUC